This 301-nucleotide ribosomal RNA is filed under the name uncultured bacterium. RNAcentral's name for it is "partial 16S ribosomal RNA". It matches the Rfam family "Bacterial small subunit ribosomal RNA", at positions 510 to 808 of the family's 1533-position model. The record is from RNAcentral.
CACAGCCACGGGAAUACGUAGGUGGCAAGCGUUGUCCGGAAUUACUGGGCGUAAAGCGUGUGUAGGUGGUUGUUUAAGUCUGUCGUGAAAGCCCUGGGCUCAACCUGGGAAUUGCGAUGGAUACUGGGCGACUAGAGUGCGGUAGAGGAUAGUGGAAUUUCCGGUGUAGCAGUGAAAUGCGUAGAGAUUGGAAGGAACAUCUGUGGCGAAGGCGACUAUCUGGGCCAACACUGACACUGAGACACGAAAGCGUGGGGAGCAAACAGGAUUAGAUACCCCCGUAGUCCCUGUCUCUUAUACA